CUGGAAUAUAUAGCAGCACAACUGGGCAGAGGCCUCUGAGAUUGGGAAAACCCGCUGGAUGAUGAGCCUUUUGUUUUAGAUUGAGGUAAUUCGAUCUAAAGGAUGCACCGUGAGGAGGCGGCAUGCCGUGUCAUAUUCAUCUGUUUGCUGAAUGGAGAGUAGUGAGGGAUGUUUCCGAAGCUGUUGUCAGAAGAAAGGGACAAGUCAUGAAGUUUCCUACAAGUUACAACAAGGCAAAAAGUGACUACUAUUCAGAAGCAGUUUUUCCAGUACUGCAGAUUUCCAGGAGUUGCUGUUGAUGGGACACAUGUUUACAUCAGGAGCCCUGGUGGGGCAAGAGCCAGGUACUACUUCAGGUUGUCUGUGAUUAUGCUGGGAAAAUAACUAGUAUCGUUGCAAGGUGGCCUGGACUGGUAGCAGCCACGAUGCCAGGAUCUUUUCUGAGUGUGCACUGAAUUGACAGCUUCAUGCUAGGGCAUAUGAAUAACAGUUGAUUCUUGGAGAUAGACUAUAGGGUAUCCAUGCCUUCUCUGUCUCAUCAGAAGCCAUUUCUUCAUUCAGAGGCCAUCUGUACUAGUUCAG
This is a long non-coding RNA of Strongylocentrotus purpuratus (purple sea urchin), 582 nucleotides long. RefSeq lists it as uncharacterized. Lineage: Eukaryota; Metazoa; Echinodermata; Echinoidea; Camarodonta; Strongylocentrotidae. The record is from RefSeq and is a predicted model, not a curated record. The transcript is spliced from 4 exons.